RNAcentral lists this ribosomal RNA (450 nucleotides) under uncultured bacterium. RNAcentral's name for it is "bacterial SSU rRNA". It matches the Rfam family "Bacterial small subunit ribosomal RNA", at positions 28 to 524 of the family's 1533-position model. The record is from RNAcentral.
GAUGAACGCUGGCGGUAUGCCUAACACAUGCAAGUCGAACGAACUCUUCGGAGUGAGUGGCGGACGGGUGAGUAACGCGUAAGGAACUGCCCUUAGGAGGGGGACAACCACUGGAAACGGUGGCUAAUACCCCAUAUGCCGAGAGGUGAAAGAUUUAUCGCCUGAGGAUGUUCUUGCGUCAGAUUAGCUAGUUGGUGGGGUAAAGGCCUACCAAGGCGACGAUCUGUAGCUGUUCUGAGAGGAAGAUCAGCCACACUGGGACUGAGACACGGCCCAGACUCCUACGGGAGGCAGCAGUGGGAAUUUUCCGCAAUGGGCGAAAGCCUGACGGAGCAAUACCGCGUGAACGAAGAAGGCUCUAGGGUCGUAAAGUUCUUUUAUCAGGGAAGAAGAAUUGACGGUACCUGAUGAAUCAGCAUCGGCUAACUCCGUGCCAGCCGCCGCGGUAAU